GAGUGAGGGACAGAUAGGUCACGCUUGAAAAAGUGAGGAAGUUCUGCCCUCCGCGAGAUAGAUUCCUUUAAGGGGAAAGAGAUGGAACAGAAACGGAACCUUUUUUGGGAUCAACAAAAACUUUGUUUUGGUGCACACAAAAAUCUAUGAUUUUUGACGAACCAGAACAGGAUGCAACGAUCAUCUCUCUAUCAAUGACGGUGAAAGGCCUUUUGGCCGCUCUCAUUAGCGCAAGUUAAUGGGCCACAAACUCGAGUAAUCGAUUUGUCGGAAGUCAAAUCCUAUCUAAUUACAGAAGGCAGACUAUGCCCCUCACUC
This 318-nucleotide RNase P RNA is filed under the name Microcaldota archaeon. Its description in RNAcentral is "RNase P RNA component". It matches the Rfam family "Archaeal RNase P". From Rfam's summary of the family: Ribonuclease P (RNase P) is a ubiquitous endoribonuclease, found in archaea, bacteria and eukarya as well as chloroplasts and mitochondria. Its best characterised activity is the generation of mature 5'-ends of tRNAs by cleaving the 5'-leader elements of precursor-tRNAs. The record is from RNAcentral. Lineage: Archaea; Nanobdellati; Microcaldota.